GCUAAACGCGAAGAACCUUACCUACUCUUGACAUCCAGAGAACUUAGCAGAGAUGCUUUGGUGCCUUCGGGAACUCUGAGACAGGUGCUGCCUGGCUGUCGUCAGCUCGUGUUGUGAAAUGUUGGGUUAAGUCCCGCAACGAGCGCAACCCUUAUCCUUUGUUGCCAGCGGUUCGGCCGGGAACUCAAAGGAGACUGCCAGUGAUAAACUGGAGGAAGGUGGGGAUGACGUCAAGUCAUCAUGGCCCUUACGAGUAGGGCUACACACGUGCUACAAUGGCAUAUACAAAGAGAAGCGACCUCGCGAGAGCAAGCGGACCUCAUAAAGUAUGUCGUAGUCCGGAUUGGAGUCCGCAACUCGACUCCAUGAAGUCGGAAUCGCUAGUAAUCGUGGAUCAGAAUGCCACGGUGAAUACGUUCCCGGGUCUUGUACACACCG
Molecule: ribosomal RNA, 438 nt
Filed under: uncultured bacterium
Lineage: Bacteria
Description: bacterial SSU rRNA
Rfam family: Bacterial small subunit ribosomal RNA
Source: RNAcentral